UCUUUUUGCAGAAUUUUUUUUUUUUGAGGUAGAAUGAGAAACUAUAUUAAAUCACGCGAAGCAAUAUCUGUGAGCCAAGCAGGAAAGCUUGACUUCCAGAUCAUUACACCAGAAGAAGAAGCGGCAAAGUUCGCCAAACAAUGUGCCGCCCGGUUAGCUUCUCUCCGGGCAUGGCAAAAAUCAAGGACAAUGUGGUGUUUCGCAUGAGUGAACGCCUCAAAAAGGUCGUCGCAAAGAGAGUCAGUUCCUCCUCGAUCCUCAUGAAG
Molecule: long non-coding RNA, 266 nt
Filed under: Salvia miltiorrhiza (redroot sage)
Lineage: Eukaryota; Viridiplantae; Streptophyta; Magnoliopsida; Lamiales; Lamiaceae
Description: long non-coding RNA (SMIL_LNC013040)
Source: RNAcentral